Molecule: ribosomal RNA, 253 nt
Filed under: uncultured bacterium
Lineage: Bacteria
Description: partial 16S ribosomal RNA
Rfam family: Bacterial small subunit ribosomal RNA
Source: RNAcentral
UACAGAGGUGGCAAGCGUUGUUCGGAAUUACUGGGCGUAAAGGGCGCGUAGGCGGCCCGUCAAGUCCCGUGUGCAAGCCCCCGGCUCAACCGGGGAACGGCGCGGGAAACUAGCAGGCUUGAGUUCGGGAGAGGGAAGCGGAAUUCCGGGUGUAGCGGUGAAAUGCGCAGAUAUCCGGAGGAACACCGGUGGCGAAGGCGGCUUCCUGGACCGACACUGACGCUGAGGCGCGAAAGCUAGGGGAGCAAACGGG